Molecule: ribosomal RNA, 296 nt
Filed under: uncultured Synechococcus sp.
Lineage: Bacteria; Bacillati; Cyanobacteriota; Cyanophyceae; Synechococcales; Synechococcaceae
Description: partial 16S ribosomal RNA
Rfam family: Bacterial small subunit ribosomal RNA
Source: RNAcentral
ACAAAGGGCUGCAAGUUCGCGAGGACAAGCAAAUCCCAUAAACCGUGGCUCAGUUCAGAUCGUAGGCUGCAACUCGCCUACGUGAAGGAGGAAUCGCUAGUAAUCGCAGGUCAGCAUACUGCGGUGAAUACGUUCCCGGGCCUUGUACACACCGCCCGUCACACCAUGGAAGUUGGCCACGCCCGAAGCCGUUACUCCAACCCUCGGGAGGAGGACGUCGAAGGUGGGGCUGAUGACUGGGGUGAAGUCGUAACAAGGUAUCCGUACCGGAAGGUGCGGAUGGAUCACCUCCUAAC